UACGUAGGGGGCAAGCGUUGUCCGGAAUCAUUGGGCGUAAAGGGCGCGCAGGCGGCUGCUCAAGUCAGGCGUGAAAGGCCUGGGCUCAACCCGGGAAUUGCGCUUGAGACUGGGCUGGCUUGAGUGCGGGAGAGGAUGGUGGAAUUCCCAGUGUAGAGGUGAAAUUCGUAGAUAUUGGGAAGAACACCGGUGGCGAAGGCGGCCAUCUGGACCGCAACUGACGCUGAGGCGCGAAAGCGUGGGGAGCAAACAGG
Molecule: ribosomal RNA, 254 nt
Filed under: uncultured bacterium
Lineage: Bacteria
Description: partial 16S ribosomal RNA
Rfam family: Bacterial small subunit ribosomal RNA
Source: RNAcentral